Molecule: ribosomal RNA, 440 nt
Filed under: uncultured bacterium
Lineage: Bacteria
Description: partial 16S ribosomal RNA
Rfam family: Bacterial small subunit ribosomal RNA
Source: RNAcentral
CCUACGGGAGGCAGCAGUGGGGAAUAUUGCACAAUGGGGGAAACCCUGAUGCAGCGACGCCGCGUGAGUGAAGAAGUAUCUCGGUACGUAAAGCUCUAUCAGUAGGGAAGAAAAUGACGGUACCUGACUAAGAAGCCCCGGAUAACUACGUGACAGCAGCGGUGGCAACACGUAGGGGGCAAGCGUUAUCCGGAUUUACUGGGUGUAAAGGGAGCGUAGACGGCAGCGCAAGUCUGUAGUGAAAUCCCAUGGCUUAACCAUGGAACUGCUUUGGAAACUGUGCAGCUAGAGUGCAGGAGAGGUAAGCGGAAUUCCUAGUGUAGCGGUGAAAUGCGUAGAUAUUAGGAGGAACACCAGUGGCGAAGGCGGCUUACUGGACUGUAACUGACGUUGAGGCUCGAAAGCGUGGGGAGCAAACAGGAUUAGAUACCCGAGUAGUC